RNAcentral lists this ribosomal RNA (403 nucleotides) under bacterium. RNAcentral describes it as "partial 16S ribosomal RNA". It matches the Rfam family "Bacterial small subunit ribosomal RNA", at positions 355 to 776 of the family's 1533-position model. The record is from RNAcentral.
UGGGGAAUAUUGCACAAUGGGGGAAACCCUGAUGCAGCGACGCCGCGUGAACGCAGAAGGUAUUCGUAUCGUAAAGUUCUGUCCUAUGGGAAGAUAAUGACAGUACCAUAGAAGAAAGCUCCGGCUAAAUACGUGCCAGCAGCCGCGGUAAUACGUAUGGAGCGAGCGUUGUCCGGACUUAUUGGGCGUAAAGGGUACGCAGGCGGUUGAAUAAGUCGAAUGUUAAAGAUCGGGGCUCAACCCCGCAAAGCAUUGGAAACUGAUAAACUUGAGUAGUGGAGAGGAAAGUGGAAUUCCUAGUGUAGUGGUGAAAUACGUAGAUAUUAGGAGGAAUACCAGUAGCGAAGGCGACUUUCUGGACACAAACUGACGCUGAGGUACGAAAGCGUGGGGAGCAAACAGG